Molecule: ribosomal RNA, 443 nt
Filed under: uncultured bacterium
Lineage: Bacteria
Description: partial 16S ribosomal RNA
Rfam family: Bacterial small subunit ribosomal RNA
Source: RNAcentral
CCUACGUGGGGCAGCAGUGGGGAAUAUUGGGCAAUGGGCGCAAGCCUUACCCAGCAAUACCGCGUGAGUGAAGAAGGUCUUCGGAUUGUAAAGCUCUUUGAUCAGGGACGAACAGAUGACGUUACCUGAAGAACAAGCCCCGGCUAACUACGUGCCAGCAGCCGCGGUAAAUCGUAGGGGGCGAGCGUUGUCCGGAAUGACUGGGCGUAAAGGGUGCGUAGGCGGGAGAAUAAGUUAGAAGGGAAAUACCCAGGGCUUAACUGGGGUGGUGCUUCUAAGACUGGUGAGCUUGAGUGCGGGAGAGGUUAAUGGAAGUCCUAGUGUAGCGGUGGAAUGCGUAGAUAUUAGGAGGAACACCAGAGGCGAAGGCGAUUAACUGGACCGUAACUGACGCUGAGGCACGAAAGUGUGGGUAGCAAACAGGAUUAGAUACCCCAGUAGUC